RNAcentral lists this transfer RNA (65 nucleotides) under chicken gut metagenome. It matches the Rfam family "tRNA", at positions 5 to 66 of the family's 71-position model. Rfam says of the family: Transfer RNA (tRNA) molecules are approximately 80 nucleotides in length. Their secondary structure includes four short double-helical elements and three loops (D, anti-codon, and T loops). The record is from RNAcentral.
UUCGUAGCUCAGUCGGUAGAGCAGAGGACUGAAAAUCCUCGUGUCGGUGGUUCGAUUCCGCCCGA